Ailuropoda melanoleuca (giant panda) is the source of this 107-nucleotide small nuclear RNA. NCBI's taxonomy places the organism in Eukaryota, Metazoa, Chordata, Mammalia, Carnivora, Ursidae. The record is from Ensembl.
ACGCUUGUUUCAGCAGCAUAUAUACUAAAAUUGGAACGAUACAGAGAAGAUCAGCAUGGCCCAUGCACAAGUAUGACACACAAAUUCAUGAAGUGUUACAUAUUUUU